GCAGUCGAGCGAAUGGAUUAAGAGCUUGCUCUUAUGAAGUUAGCGGCGGACGGGUGAGUAACACGUGGGUAACCUGCCCAUAAGACUGGGAUAACUCCGGGAAACCGGGGCUAAUACCGGAUAACAUUUUGAACCGCAUGGUUCGAAAUUGAAAGGCGGCUUCGGCUGUCACUUAUGGAUGGACCCGCGUCGCAUUAGCUAGUUGGUGAGGUAACGGCUCACCAAGGCAACGAUGCGUAGCCGACCUGAGAGGGUGAUCGGCCACACUGGGACUGAGACACGGCCCAGACUCCUACGGGAGGCAGCAGUAGGGAAUCUUCCGCAAUGGACGAAAGUCUGACGGAGCAACGCCGCGUGAGUGAUGAAGGCUUUCGGGUCGUAAAACUCUGUUGUUAGGGAAGAACAAGUGCUAGUUGAAUAAGCUGGCACCUUGACGGUACCUAACCAGAAAGCCACGGUUAACUAACGUGCC
This 472-nucleotide ribosomal RNA is filed under the name Bacillus sp. EGU234. Its description in RNAcentral is "bacterial SSU rRNA". It matches the Rfam family "Bacterial small subunit ribosomal RNA", at positions 57 to 509 of the family's 1533-position model. The record is from RNAcentral. Lineage: Bacteria; Bacillati; Bacillota; Bacilli; Caryophanales; Bacillaceae.